RNAcentral lists this ribosomal RNA (492 nucleotides) under uncultured bacterium. RNAcentral's name for it is "partial 16S ribosomal RNA". It matches the Rfam family "Bacterial small subunit ribosomal RNA", at positions 29 to 507 of the family's 1533-position model. The record is from RNAcentral.
AGUGAACGCUGGCGGUAGGCCUAACACAUGCAAGUCGAACGGCAGCACAGUAAGAGCUUGCUCUUACGGGUGGCGAGUGGCGGACGGGUGAGGAAUACAUCGGAAUCUACUUUUUCGUGGGGGAUAACGUAGGGAAACUUACGCUAAUACCGCAUACGACCUACGGGUGAAAGCAGGGGAUCUUCGGACCUUGCGCGAUAGAAUGAGCCGAUGUCGGAUUAGCUAGUUGGCGGGGUAAAGGCCCACCAAGGCGACGAUCCGUAGCUGGUCUGAGAGGAUGAUCAGCCACACUGGAACUGAGACACGGUCCAGACUCCUACGGGAGGCAGCAGUGGGGAAUAUUGGACAAUGGGCGCAAGCCUGAUCCAGCCAUACCGCGUGGGUGAAGAAGGCCUUCGGGUUGUAAAGCCCUUUUGUUGUGAAAGAAAAGCAGCAGGUUAAUACCCCGCUGUUCUGACGGUACCCAAAGAAUAAGCACCGGCUAACUUCGUG